Molecule: transfer RNA, 72 nt
Filed under: Ipomoea nil (Japanese morning glory)
Lineage: Eukaryota; Viridiplantae; Streptophyta; Magnoliopsida; Solanales; Convolvulaceae
Rfam family: tRNA
About the family: Transfer RNA (tRNA) molecules are approximately 80 nucleotides in length.
Source: Rfam by way of RNAcentral
GGGUAUUUGGUCUAGUGGUAUGAUUCUUGCUUGGGGUGUGAGAGGUUCUGAGUUUAAUUCUUGAAAUGCUCA